Molecule: long non-coding RNA, 967 nt
Organism: Stegostoma tigrinum
Lineage: Eukaryota; Metazoa; Chordata; Chondrichthyes; Orectolobiformes; Stegostomatidae
Exons: 3
Source: RefSeq, a predicted model, not a curated record
CCCGGUCCCGAGAAGCCGCAAUGGCGCCAGGCUCUCUCUGUCAGACUCACCCGGGCCGCCAGUUCAGCAGAAGCCGCCGGACACCCAACAUGGCACCCACGCUGAGCUCGCCUCGCGCCGACUGUCCUCGAGCUGGAGCUCCAGUUCCGAGUGGGGGUGGGGACAGGGGACAUGGGACUAGGGGCUGGGGUUGACCUGUCCACUGCCUUCUCUGAUGACCGGAGCCGCUCCCUGUCCCACUGGUGGCGGCUUCACUUCAAUCACUCUCGCUAUUUAUAAACUCCUUCUCAACGAUCGGCCUCACAUCAACAGCAAAAUACGCAGACUGUAAAAAUCUGAAACCAUAAAGCAGAAAUAGCCCAGUGGCCUAACGCUGCUGUCGCUGCCUCUGAGCCAAGAAGAACCUCGUUCAAGCCCCACCUCGCUUUAUGAUCGACAGAGGGGUCAUCGAUGAAGCACCUGAAGAUGUUUGGCCUAGGACCCUACCCUAAAUAACUGCUUCAGCAACGUCUUUGAGCUGAAAAUGACUGGUCUCCGACAACCACAACCAUCUUCUUUUGUACCAGCAAUCUAGGAUGCAUUCCAUCUGGACCACGUGACUGAUCAAUCACCACUGUAUCACAAAAUAUUCUUGAAUAUUUUGUAGAAAUGACUCAAUUGUUUGUGAAUGUUACAACAUUUAGCUGCAAUUUAACUUUUAUUCCCCCUUUUUAAAAUUGAGAUUAAAAGUAAGAUUGGCUGCUUGGGGGUUGGAGCUGCCUGCCUAUUUAUGUGACAGCACACAAGAAUUUAAGAAUUAAAUACCCAGUGAUUUUUAAAAAAAAAUGUAAGCUUUGUAAAGUGGUAUGUCCAUAUUUACGCUACAUGCUCUGUUGAUUCCUAUGCCUGAAUAUAUCUCAAAACUGUCAUGGCAUAAAAGACGUUGAGAGUAGUGCACAAAAAAUACCAGAAGAAAUUAGAAAUUAUU